GGCCGGAUGGCGGAAUGGCAGACGCAAAGGACUUAAAAUCCUUUGUCCCGUUAGGGACGUGUGGGUUCGAAUCCCACUCCGGCUA
Molecule: transfer RNA, 85 nt
Filed under: Candidatus Anammoximicrobium sp.
Lineage: Bacteria; Pseudomonadati; Planctomycetota; Planctomycetia; Pirellulales; Pirellulaceae
Description: tRNA-Leu
Rfam family: tRNA
About the family: Transfer RNA (tRNA) molecules are approximately 80 nucleotides in length. Their secondary structure includes four short double-helical elements and three loops (D, anti-codon, and T loops).
Source: RNAcentral